AUUGAACGCUGGCGGCAUGCCUUACACAUGCAAGUCGAACGGCAGCACGGGAGCAAUCCUGGUGGCGAGUGGCGAACGGGUGAGUAAUAUAUCGGAACGUGCCCAGUCGUGGGGAUAACGUAGCGAAAGCUACGCUAAUACCGCAUACGAUCUACGGAUGAAAGCGGGGAUCGCAAGACCUCGCGCGAUUGGAGCGGCCGAUAUCAGAUUAGGUAGUUGGUGAGGUAAAGGCUCACCAAGCCGACGAUCUGUAGCUGGUCUGAGAGGACGACCAGCCACACUGGGACUGAGACACGGCCCAGACUCCUACGGGAGGCAGCAGUGGGGAAUUUUGGACGAAUGGGCGAAAGCCUGAUCCAGCAAUGCCGCGUGCAGGAAGAAGGCCUC
This 387-nucleotide ribosomal RNA is filed under the name uncultured bacterium. Its description in RNAcentral is "bacterial SSU rRNA". It matches the Rfam family "Bacterial small subunit ribosomal RNA", at positions 29 to 418 of the family's 1533-position model. The record is from RNAcentral.